This 4299-nucleotide small RNA is filed under the name Arabidopsis thaliana (thale cress). RNAcentral's name for it is "ATSL281530". Lineage: Eukaryota; Viridiplantae; Streptophyta; Magnoliopsida; Brassicales; Brassicaceae. The record is from RNAcentral.
UUUUAAAAAAUAGACCCCACGACUUGCGUUCACACUACGAUUAUUGCGUUCACACUACAAAGUUUCUACCUAUUUAUUCUCGUUCAUCUCUCUUUCUCUCUCUCUCUCUUCUAUUUCUCUCUCGUUCUUUCUCUCUCUCGUUCUUCUCUCUUCUCUUCCUUCCCAACAUCGGCGACGACAACUGAAAUUAGGGUUCCAAUUAUCCGCCGCCGCCGACGACAACAACAACAACCAAGGUAUGAUAUAGGGUUUCUAAAGGGUUUCUAGCCACCGUAAUUAGUAGAUCUAGGGUUUUUUACGGGUUUCUAGCCGCCGUAAUUAGUAGAUCUAGGGUUUCUUACGGGUUUCUAGCCGCCGUAAUUAGUAGAUCUAGGGUUUAUAGCGUUCAUGAUUCAUAUCUCUUUCUUUCUCUAUUCUGUAGAUGCCCUAUAGUUACUCUCAACCAUCCACGUCCGAAGCUAGUUGGAAUAGUGGAGAGGCGAAUGCCGAUGCAAAUUGGGGGGUUCCAGAAAAAUGUUUUUGUGGUAAGCCUGUAAAACUUGAAGUGUGCAAAACUGGUUACAGGCAAGGCGACAGAGUCUACAAAUGCUCAAUGCUUAAAGUAAGUUAUUGUGUUUUCAUUUCAUUGGAACAACAAAGUACAAGUGAAUUAUAUUUAUGAAGUCUUCUCUCUUUCGCAGGCUGAAGAGUACGAGUCCCGAAACCACCUUAUUCAGUGGUGGGAUCAGGCGGUAACUGAGGAGCUUGAGAUGGUAAAUCACAAACUUGAUUCCGCACUAAGACAUGGACAACUAGCAUGCAAUCAUGCUUUGGAGUCCAUCCGGGAAACUGUUCAUCUCAUGCAAGGCGAAAUUGAAACCCUUAAAGAAAGGUUACUCGCCAAAGAAGUCGAGAUUGAUAGGCUUAGGGCAUUACUUUCUACAUGGUGAUUAUGAUGUGUUUUAUGUUAUUGAGGAUGGUGUAUGGCAUUUGAACCUAAUUAUGUUAUGUUUCUGGAUUUUAUGUAAUAUUUGAACCUAAUUAGACAUGUAUUUACCUAUUUUAAGUUAUGUGUAUUGACCGGCCAACUGGGACAACUUAGCUACUCUUGUAUUUUAAGUUAUGUGUAUUGACCGGCCAACUGGGACAACUUAGCCACUCUUGUAUUUUAAGCUAUGUGUAUUGACCGGCCAACUGGGACAACUUAGCCACUCUUGUAUUAUUGACCGGCCAACCGGGACAACUUAGCCAAACGUUUUGAUUUUAAUAAAAUCCUAAAACACAUAAACCAUUUCAGAAAAUAAGUUUGUCCUUUACACAUAAACUACGCAUAACAUUUCCAAAUACACAAAAAAAGUCCUAUUUCUCCAAACACCUACGAGUCCACACACACACAUAAGCAAGAAAGAAAAGUCAAAGUCCUAAUUCUUCUGUCUCUUCCUCGUUUGCUUCCCCUCAGCUGUAAACUCUUCCCCCUUAUACUUGGAAGGUUUCCUUCCACGUUUUUUCCCAGAUUCCAGAGUAGGACCAACAUGCUUUCUCUUCUUCUUCGAUAUCUGCUUCUUCUUCUUCUUCUUCUUAUCCUCUUCAUCGGACUCAUCGCUGCCAUCACCUACAAAAAUAUGUAACCAAACAUGUAAGAACUAUUGUGAAAGCAUCACUACACAAAAGUUCAACAAAAACUCACUUAGAGACUCAAUAGUUGGAGGUGCUGGGUCACGGCUUCCACUGUGAAUAACCAAGGCCUUGCUCUGAGUAUCCCUUGGCUGAUAAGACGGUGGCACAAAAUCAGCAGCUGAACCAGGACGCAUAUCUUCAUAACGGGCUUUUUCUGCCUCUUUCUCAAGCUAAUCUGCCACAUAUUCCUCUAUUCCUUGUACUCUCACACAAAUCCGCUUGAUUUCGCUAUCCAUCACAGCAAGCUUGUCCGUGAGCUUGUCAAAUCCUCUCUCCAUAGCUUCCUUGAACGAGAGAAUCGAUGUCCCAGGGAUUUCAGGUUCAGGUACAGCUGGAACAUCAUCAACAGUUUCAAUACGUCUACCAUCAAUGUCUGCUUGGUAGAGACUACGCCAAAAAAUCUUCUUUUUCUCUACGAUAAGCCUCUCUCUCCAGCUAUCAACAAUUGGAUCGAUAUAUCCAAUACCAUCAUCAACAUGCUUCUCUACAACGCGUGACAACAUUUUUCUCUCAUCCAUAUCAGGUUCCAAGAUGCUUGAAAUAUCCUGUCAAGUAAACAUAUAUUUCAAACACCACAAAGAUUAUAAACAUAGAUUUCAAGAGAACAAAGCUAACCAUUAUAUCUCCAAGUGCUUCAUUUAUUUCUUCCAAAGUAAAUCCCUUCAUGCAACUUUCACUGAACUUGUGCUUGCACAUUCUUGGACGUUCCUUGUCUGCAGGUACAGCUUCUCUAAAUCUCUUCCCAAGCUGCAGAAUGCACUCAAAUGCCAGAAUCUAGACAUAAAAGUAAAUGCAAGUUCACAAUAACAAAAUUUAGCCACUCAUAUAAUUUACUCGACUACUUACCUCAAGUAGAGUAAUAAAUCCAUAAAAAGCAGUCUGUGCCUUGGGUUUCACCACACCUUUCAUGUUCUUCAUUACUCUCCGCACCCCUUCCAUACACUGCUCAAAGGAAAAACGUCCCCACGGGAAUGUCUCACAAGCUCUGAUAUUAUCCACAAUCCUAAGCAGCAACUCCUCUAUCUUCGAAUCCCCUUUAGAAUCAGCUUUCAUAACCUUAGCUAAGAAUAACAGAAUUGCCAACUUCAACCUAGCAGUAGACUUCUCACUCUUAAACUCUUCCAGCUUCUCUUCCACGUCUUUAAUCUUGAUGUCCUCAGUCCUUUUAAACAACUUCUCAACAAACUUCAAACUGCCUAAAGUCUUAUAGUUUUUUGGGUACUCACGGCAGUUCAAACCGGUCAACAAUGCAUGCUCUUUAAUUAAGUACCUUAUAGGUACUCCAUUGACAACAAACCAACACUCUCUCGCCAAUUCUGUCUUAGCCGUGCGAACCAUAAGCAUCCACAUGCCUUGAAUCAUGUGAUUUGGCUCCUUAGGCAUGUGGAAUAUGUGCUUAAAUUGGUCAUGAUUCUUAAACCACUUCAGUUCUGCAUCCAAAGUCUCUAUAAAUUCCACUGUUUGUACCAACUGACACCUCGUUCCUAUCUUACACACCUUCGUGUAGGUAGUUGGAUCAAAGUACAUAACUUCUGGCGGCAAUGGUUGAUUAUCAUCAUCAUCAUCAUCAUCAUCCUGCAUAUUCUGCGGUAGGUUAUCGUCAUCACCAUCCUGCAUAUUCUGCGGCAGGUUAUCAUCAUCACCAUCAUCCUGCAUAUUCAAUUCAAAAUACUUUCAAUUCCACAUUAACUACCUAGUUGUACUACUUGUUCCUGAAUGACCAUUCACAAAUUUACGACCUAGUUGUACUACUUGUUUUAUCUGAAGCACCAUUCACAAAUCCAAUCAUUUACCAAUGCAUAAUAUCCUAAAACGAGCCUAAUCCAAAAAAUAACGGUCUUCUCUCAUACCUUAUUUGCUCCAUCAUCAUGUUGAACAACUGCAUUCGUUGCCUCCUCUUCUUCUGCACAAGAAUCGGCAUUUGGGUCUGAAAGAUCGUCAAUUGAAUCCCAUGCGACGGCGUUUGAAUUACCCAAAUCGGCGGCGUCACAAUCGCCGGUUGUAGGCUGAAUUUCUCCGGCUUCCUCUUCUGUUGUUAGAAGCUCUACGCCUUCUUCAUCUCUUUGGGGAAUCUCGGCGGCGGUCUCUUCGACUGAUGGAGGAAUUUCGCCGGUCACUUCAACCCUAGUUGAUUCAUAUUCUCCAGAUGAGUCUUUUACUCUAUCCAUUGGAAAAUAAAUUUGCGGAUAUGAAAGAGACAAAGACGAACGAAAACGGAGAAGAAAGAAGAAGAGAAGAGAUUGAUUUUUCCGGUGAAAUUGGUGUCGUCGGAGACGAGAGAAGACGACGACGGAGAGAAGAGGAAGAAGUCGAGAAGUUGAAAAGGGGAAGAACAUUUUUUACUUAGGUUUUUUCUGUAGUUUCUAGGGUAAAUAAUAUAACUGGGGCGAAUAUUUACAUUUUUUAUUGGUGCCUAAAUCUAACAAAUUAAGUUUUCUUGUAGUUUUCGUGGUUUCGCAAGAGUUUUUCGUCCUUUCCUCAUUUUUCGAUUUUAAUAAAAAUCAAUAAUAUUAUUCCAAGAAUGGCACGAGUGAUUAUUUCUUCUCAAAUAGUGGCAUAAGAGGUGAGCCUUCCAAAUUCUUCAACCCUUAAACCCAUUCAUUUUCUCCAGAAGAUUCUGAGACGAAGAGGCAAAAUUUUCUC